CGGAACGGGUGAGUAAUGCGUGACCAACCUGCCCCAUGCUCCAGAAUAGCUCUUGGAAACGGGUGGUAAUGCUGGAUGCUCCAACUUGACGCAUGUCUUGUUGGGAAAGUGUUUAGUGGCAUGGGAUGGGGUCGCGUCCUAUCAGCUUGUAGGCGGGGUAAUGGCCCACCUAGGCUUCGACGGGUAGCCGGCCUGAGAGGGCGGACGGCCACAUUGGGACUGAGAUACGGCCCAGACUCCUACGGGAGGCAGCAGGU
RNAcentral lists this ribosomal RNA (257 nucleotides) under uncultured Gardnerella sp. Its description in RNAcentral is "partial 16S ribosomal RNA". It matches the Rfam family "Bacterial small subunit ribosomal RNA", at positions 98 to 354 of the family's 1533-position model. The record is from RNAcentral. Lineage: Bacteria; Bacillati; Actinomycetota; Actinomycetes; Bifidobacteriales; Bifidobacteriaceae.